Anser brachyrhynchus (Pink-footed goose) is the source of this 1703-nucleotide long non-coding RNA. Lineage: Eukaryota; Metazoa; Chordata; Aves; Anseriformes; Anatidae. The record is from Ensembl.
AUUUAUUUUCCAGUUGCUUUUUAUGUUAUACUGGCACCCAAACCGUGUCUCUACAGAGGGACGAGCAUCGUUGAAAAUACUCCUGAUAGGGAUGCACUGGCAGCAAACUUAACUCAUCAAGCGGCAUCUUUGUACCGGCCUCGCGACGUUCUGCUGCCGAAGCGGAGCUUUGUGUGUGAAAGUGCUUUUGAAGGAAGUGGUUUGAGGGAAGUGCUCGGGAAACCGGCCCUCACGGGGCGCCCGGCGCCGGCCGGCCCGCGGCGGAGGCGAGGCGAGGCGGGCCGGGCUGAGGCGGCCCGCCCCGGGGAGCUCCCUCCCCCGGCCGCGCGGAGCCAUGUGACAACGCGACGGCUGUCCCGAAGCCUCCGAAGGGAAGCGGCCAGCCGCGACGCGGGACAGCGGCUCCCUCUGAGGCGGCGGCCCGGGGCAGGCCCCACCCUGGCCCCUCCCGUGACCGCAGGUGCAGUCCGAAGCCGCGGCCGCCUUCCCGCCUGGCGAGCGGCUCCUCACAGAGGUGCUGAACCCAACAGCAACUCAAGGUGCCGAUGGAGACUGAGGAAAGGAGAGUGGUUGCUGGAUGGUGGUUGCAUCCCCAUCGCAUCGCAUCCCACCCCAUCAGGAUGCUGAUCUGUUGCUCUCCAAGUCACUCACCUUGGGUAAAGGACAGCAAGCACUUCUAUAGAAGGAUACGGGAUAUGAGAUCCUCAUUCCUGUUCCAGUUUGGGAUGGCACAGUUCACAUGAGGUGUCUCACGACUAUUUUAGGUUUAUUAAACUCCUUUCAGUGACAUAAACUAGCAGUGAUGUGGGCAAGCCUUUCGUUUGCUUGAGCAAAGAACAUGAGAUCAGGUUUUAUAAGAAAGAAAGGAAAAAAACCAAAAACAACAAACAAAAAAAUGCUGCUCUCUACAGAGGAUUGAUUGUACUUGUAGCUAUGCUUUCAGACUCGAACCUAUGUUACUCUAAUAACUUAAAUUAUGAUUUCUCAUGUAAUUUAUUUCCUACUGCAUUUUUGUUUCUGAUCACAAUUUUUAAAGAAAAUGUUCAUUUAUACUCGGAAAGUACUCAGCCAAUGAUAACCACUCAAGCAUGCAAUUUUUCCUGUUCUAGUCAGCCAGUACUGAAGAUAUCUUAUUUGCUGAUUCUGCAGCAGAAGAAAUAUUCCACACUUGACUCAGAUCUCUAACACUCUUACUGUAGUUGAAUUACUAACUAGAAACGGUGUUUUUACCAUGGCUGUAGUGGCCCAAAAGGUCCUUGUUGCUGGCAGCUGUGUGUCAGUUACUGUUGUGGACAACUGUGCUUGUUGAGGUCAACGGAAAGACUCCCAUGACUUCAUUGAGGUUUGAAAUUGAGAAACUGAAUCUAAGUUUGGAUGCUUCUAAGGCAUCCUAGUGCAUUGUCACUGAAUCAUUCAGCUAAGCAUGUAUGUAUUUUUGUUUCUUAUGUAGUUAUAUUUUUUUUUUUAUGAAGACUAAGUACUAAUUGCAAAACAAAUACUCUGCAAGAGGAAAGACUACAUUGGGUCAGAUCAAAAGUUCUUUAAAAUCAGUAAAGUUUCUCCACUGUCCUCUGAAUUCAUUACAAAAAUAAGAACACAACAAAAUGUAGGUGAUCACUAAAUUGCCAUGCUAUAGUCCAGCGUUUCUCUUGUCACCUUUUAAUACUCUAUUUGCUUUUAGAAUAAAAUGAAAAGUGUUCUCA